RNAcentral lists this ribosomal RNA (1457 nucleotides) under Candidatus Giovannonibacteria bacterium RIFCSPLOWO2_12_FULL_43_26. Its description in RNAcentral is "bacterial SSU rRNA". The stretch from base 622 to 1423 matches the Rfam family "Bacterial small subunit ribosomal RNA". Lineage: Bacteria; Candidatus Giovannoniibacteriota. The record is from RNAcentral.
AACUGAAGUUUAAGUCGCAGGACAAAAACUGGCAGUUGAAAGACGAUUCGCGCGAAAACAGAAGCGAAAACAAAAAAACAGAAAAGAAAGAAAAACCAGCGCAAUCGCGCUGAAGAUUGUCAGGUGGUUGGAGGUUGGAAACAGUUCCAGCCUCCACCAUUUAUUAUUUUCUUAUGAUAUAGUCCGAACUCGCCAGCGAUGGCGAGAGGUCGGCAGAAAUGCCCGGCCCAACUCAAGAACCCGCCAAAAGUGCAAGAGCACAAUUAGGCGGGCAAGUCGGUGCUAAUUUUUGGAAAAAAGGAAAGGCCAUCGUAUUGAACGACAGCCUUUAACAACGGAGCAAAGAAGUUUAGCGAUUACCAAAUACAAUCGCGGCAGCAAAAGAUCCAAUAGCUCCACCAGCGGUUAACGCGAGCAUGCCAGCGUCCGGGCCCCCUAAGCGACUAGCUAAAACAGCUGCUCCGAGCACAAAGAAACAACCUAAAUAGAAAAAUACUUUAUGCAUUUGUUCCACCUCCUUUUUAUAGCUUAUCAUAGAAUUAAAACUUUGUCAAGCAUAAUCUUGACCCCGCAAAAAAGAGCGGGGCAGACUCCAAAAAUUAGCACCGAUUAACCCCCCUAAAUUUCAAAGAAAUUUUUGGAGGGUAAAAAAAAUUCUUGAGAGUAGCAAUGAACUUGGAAAUUUCUAACUUCUAAUUUCUAAUUUCCAACCUCCAUUGUUACGAAGUAACAAAAUGUAGAUACCCUUGUAGUCCACGCCCUAAACGAUGAUAACUAGCUAUUGGAAGUAUCGACCCUUCGAGUGGCAAAGCUAACGCGUUAAGUUAUCCGCCUGGGAAGUACGAUCGCAAGAUUAAAACUCAAAGGAAUAGACGGGGACUCGCACAAGCGGUGGAGCAUGUGGUUCAAUUCGAUGGUAAACGAAAAACCUUACCAGGGCUUGAAAUGGUUUUGACAUUCCAGCGAAAGCUGGACUUCUCACAAGGACAAAAUCACAGGUGCUGCAUGGCUGUCGUCAGUUCGUGGCUUGAGUUGUUCCCUUAAGUGGGGUAACGAACGCAACCCCUAUCGUGUGUUACAAGUGUCACGCGAGACUGCCCCGCUCAGCGGGGAGGAAGGCGGGGAUGACGCCAAGUCAGCAUGGCCCUCUGAUGCCCUGGGCUACACACGUGCUACAAUGCCGGUUACAAUGGGUCGCGAUGCCGUAAGGCGAAGCAAAUCCCAUCAAAAGCCGGCCCAGUUCAGAUUGAGGUCUGCAAUUCGACCUCAUGAAGUCGGAAUCGCUAGUAAUCGCAGGUCAGCUAUACUGCGGUGAAUACGUUCUCGAGUCUUGUACUCAAAAUUAAAAGCGCCCGGCAGCUUAUAUUUCUAGGCCGUUAAAAUCGGUCCCUCCGAUUAAAAUCGGAGCGUAGCAAACGGAUAAGUCCUUGGCCGCGAGGUUGUGGACUGAAGGAUCC